GAUCAUCGGGGAAGAUGACGGAGUUGUUUCAGGCCAUCUGAAUGUGGGGGAUCAUUGGUCCAUUUUGAAUGUGAUUCUAUGUUUUAUACUAGCUAUUUUCCGUCGUGCACCAUAGCCGGAUGGCUGUUGGAUCUGCCACAUCAAUUAAUGAAGCUAGAUCCAACGCCUCUGCUUUUUUCUGAUUUUAUUUGUUUUUUAUUUUUUUAUUUUUAAUUGCAUUUUCUUUAAAAAUUC
Molecule: long non-coding RNA, 234 nt
Filed under: Lathyrus oleraceus (garden pea)
Lineage: Eukaryota; Viridiplantae; Streptophyta; Magnoliopsida; Fabales; Fabaceae
Description: Pisum sativum (pea) long non-coding RNA (PSAT_LNC006468)
Source: RNAcentral